RNAcentral lists this ribosomal RNA (637 nucleotides) under uncultured fungus. Its description in RNAcentral is "eukaryotic LSU rRNA". The stretch from base 212 to 365 matches the Rfam family "5.8S ribosomal RNA". The record is from RNAcentral. Lineage: Eukaryota; Fungi.
AAGUCGUAACAAGGUUUCCGUAGGUGAACCUGCGGAAGGAUCAUUAGUGAAUUAAACAUGCUUGGUGUCUUCGCUUCGGCAAGGCCCUUGCUUAACUCACAUCCCAACACCUGUGAACCGUAAGGCGCAUGACUAGGUUCGCCCAAGUCAUCGUCUGCCCUUUUUAACAAACAAUUAAUGUAACAAACGUAGUCUUAUUAUAACCUAAUAAAACUUUCAACAACGGAUCUCUUGGCUCUCGCAUCGAUGAAGAACGCAGCGAAAUGCGAUAAGUAAUGUGAAUUGCAGAAUUCAGUGAAUCAUCGAAUCUUUGAACGCACCUUGCGCUCUUUGGUAUUCCGAAGAGCAUGCCUGUUUGAGUGUCAUGAAAAUAUCAACCUUGACUUGGGUUUUGUGCUCUAGUCUCGGCUUGGAAUUGGGUGCUUGCCGCUUUUACGAGCGGCUCACCUUAAAUGUAUUAGCUGGAUCUGUCUUUGAGACUUGGUUUGACUUGGCGUAAUAAGUAUUUCGCUAAGGACAUUCUUCGGAGUGGCCUCGUUUCUAGGACGCUUGUCCGCUUUCCAAUACAAGUUCCACCUCGUGGACAUGACUUUUUAUUAUCUGGCCUCAAAUCAGGUAGGACUACCCGCUGAACUUA